CAUGAUCUCCUAUGCAAAUUUUGUUUAUAUUACGAAUUCGAGCUAUUUCGUGAGGAUUUUGAACCAUUGAGCCACUGAACCGUAACCUUUCUACUUCUUGUUCUUUUGAAAGACUUUCGGGCUUGUGGUCUUCCUCCAAUAACGGUAAACUUUCAUUCCCGGCAUUUGAUCCAUGAUCACUUUCUCCAGAAGGGGUGGAUGGUUCAGGUUUCUCCGUAGAAGGCGUCGAAGGCUCAGUUUUUGAAGGUGCUGUAAUCGAUCGUCGUCUGUCAACAGCUUUUGGACGUUUUGAGGAUUUUCCUUUUCCAUGAGCCUUUUUUGGCUUCUCCGGCGGUGGAUACUCAAUUCCUUUCGAUAAAUCAAUAUUAUCUAUUGUAAUCCAUUCAUCUAAACGUUUAUUGUAGUCAUUAUAGUGUACAUAGUAGACGACGCCUCUAGUUCUUUUUUGAAUCAUUAAAAUCUCCGCCUUUCGAUAUUCUCCAUCCUUAAAUGCAAAGACUUUGGAUUUAUAAACUAUGUCUUUAGCCUCAUAAGACUUUGUUUCAAUCUUGGACUCAUCAUCAACAUCAUUCG
Non-coding RNA from Schizosaccharomyces pombe (fission yeast), 573 nucleotides. The record is from the annotation of a GenBank genome assembly. NCBI's taxonomy places the organism in Eukaryota, Fungi, Ascomycota, Schizosaccharomycetes, Schizosaccharomycetales, Schizosaccharomycetaceae.